RNAcentral lists this ribosomal RNA (468 nucleotides) under uncultured bacterium. RNAcentral describes it as "partial 16S ribosomal RNA". It matches the Rfam family "Bacterial small subunit ribosomal RNA", at positions 28 to 507 of the family's 1533-position model. The record is from RNAcentral.
GAUGAACGAUGGCGGCGUGCUUAACACAUGCAAGUCGAACGGUGAAGGCGGAGCUUGCUCUGCUGGAUCAGUGGCGAACGGGUGAGUAACACGUGAGCAAUCUGCCCCUGACUCUGGGAUAAGCGCUGGAAACGGCGUCUAAUACUGGAUACGAGCUGCGAAGGCAUCUUCAGCAGCUGGAAAGAAUUUCGGUCAGGGAUGAGCUCGCGGCCUAUCAGCUUGUUGGUGAGGUAAUGGCUCACCAAGGCGUCGACGGGUAGCCGGCCUGAGAGGGUGACCGGCCACACUGGGACUGAGACACGGCCCAGACUCCUACGGGAGGCAGCAGUGGGGAAUAUUGCACAAUGGGCGAAAGCCUGAUGCAGCAACGCCGCGUGAGGGACGACGGCCUUCGGGUUGUAAACCUCUUUUAGCAGGGAAGAAGCGAAAGUGACGGUACCUGCAGAAAAAGCGCCGGCUAACUACGUG